GACGAACGCUGGCGGCGUGCCUAAUACAUGCAAGUAGAACGCUGAAGGAGGAGCUUGCUUCUCUGGAUGAGUUGCGAACGGGUGAGUAACGCGUAGGUAACCUGCCUGGUAGCGGGGGAUAACUAUUGGAAACGAUAGCUAAUACCGCAUAAUAGCAGUUGUUGCAUGACAACUGUUUGAAAGGUGCAAUUGCACCACUACCAGAUGGACCUGCGUUGUAUUAGCUAGUUGGUGGGGUAACGGCUCACCAAGGCGACGAUACAUAGCCGACCUGAGAGGGUGAUCGGCCACACUGGGACUGAGACAAGGCCCAGACUCCUACGGGAGGCAGCAGUAGGGAAUCUUCGGCAAUGGACGGAAGUCUGACCGAGCAACGCCGCGUGAGUGAAGAAGGUUUUCGGAUCGUAAAGCUCUGUUGUAAGAGAAGAACGAGUGUGAGAGUGGAAAGUUCACACUGUGACAGUAUCUUACCAGAAAGGGACGGCUAACUACGUG
RNAcentral lists this ribosomal RNA (495 nucleotides) under uncultured bacterium. Its description in RNAcentral is "partial 16S ribosomal RNA". It matches the Rfam family "Bacterial small subunit ribosomal RNA", at positions 28 to 507 of the family's 1533-position model. The record is from RNAcentral.